UUCCCGGAAGUGUACCUCCCACUUUAGUUUUUAUCAUGUUUCAUUGUCGAAGUUAAGCACUGUCCUAUACUGUGCUGAAGGCUUUGAGGAGAGACAACGGCCGGGCAUGGAGGAAGACGUGAUCCCGGAGGAGAGCCUCACUACUGCCUUGAAGCAGCUCGUCAGUCUGGGCAAUGUUUUGCUACAGCAGGCCAAGAAAGACGCGGAGGUCUCCAUGGAGGACUUUGUCCCUUACAAGAUUGCCACUUUGUUGGGCCUGAUUGCAGCCGGAGCAGAGUUCUAUAGGAGUAUCGGAGUGAAGAAGAAAAGCGAAGCCGAGGCUGCCUGGCAGAAGUUGUAUGGCCGUGCACCAGUGAGAGAGCAGGUGGAGGAGCUCCUCCAGCUCCAGAACGAAUGGGACUCCUUCCUGGAGUACGUGGAUCAAAGUCUUCAAUCAUCUUGUGCUCCCGUAAAACCAGGAGGAGAAACAGUGGACAUCUUUAGCCCCGAAACUUUGUUGACUGAUGGACGCAGUGGAAAGAGCGUCACCCUGGAUCACUACCGGUCUCCGGGUCAGAAGCUUCUGCUGGUCCUCAUCAGACACUAUGGAUGACUGCCGUGACGCGACCACGUGGCCGAGCUGGAGGGCAGCAGGGCUGCCCUGGAGGCUCGGUCUGUGAAGGUCGUCGUGGUGGCUUUCGGGGCCCUGAAGGGGGCUCGUUUGUGGCUGCAGCAGACUGGAUGCUCCUUGGACUUAGUACUCGAUCCACACAGAAAGAUCUACCGGAGCUUUGGACUGAUCUCAUCCUGCGCUAAAGUCAUGAACUUUGACUCCAUGCUUCGGUAUUCCGAGUACCAAGCUGCUGACAGAAGCUUCCCAGAAUUCCCCAUGCACAUGCUGGAGGACAUCUACCAGAUGGGAGGUGACUUUUUGCUGAGCGGUACCAACAAAGUCCUUUUGUCCCACCCAAGCAAGUACCCGAUGGACCGACCCACCCUCAGCGACAUCCUACGGACAGCGUCUGGCUCGACCGAGCUCGUCGCGCAGGAAGUAAGCGGUAGUGGCACGCCAAUGCACGCCGAUGACGUCACGCCUCGCACUCACAAUACCGUGAAGAGGUGUGACCGAUGCCAAGCUGUGCUGACCGGCCUCCCGCUGCUUCCUCUCAGAUCCUUGCUGUAACUUAAACAUGAACUUUUUGAGCAUUUAUUCCAUAUCCUUAAUAUCAAGCGCAUGGAAUGCUCUGACGAGGCCUGGGACCACAUCACCAGUUCCGAUACGACCUCUGAUGAUCAGCGGAUACCCGAUGACAUUUAAUUGAUUUUAACAAUUUAGGAAUGACACAAAAUUGUACUUUUUUCCUGAUUUUCCUUUAUUGUGUGAGAUCAAAAUCACGGAAUACAAGCUGAGCACAUGCACACUAGUCCUGUUGUAUUCAUAUUUGUUCACUAAAAUUGUUUUCUAGUGUCAUUUAGGACUUUAUGCAACAUCGCCUUUAAAAAGAUGUCUGGUGUAUCACUCAGAGCGCAUUCCAAAAGAUGCAGACGAGCAUGCCAUGUGGUGCUAUCUCGCGUGUGAUUGGUUGACACAAGGCUACAAAAAGUACCUGAUAAAUAUCCAUCCAAGGACAAUAAAUGUAACACUUCAAUGAGA
Molecule: RNA transcript, 1633 nt
Organism: Syngnathus acus (greater pipefish)
Lineage: Eukaryota; Metazoa; Chordata; Actinopteri; Syngnathiformes; Syngnathidae
Gene: selenol
Gene name: selenoprotein L
Exons: 10
Source: RefSeq, a predicted model, not a curated record